AAAAGAUAAGCUAAUUUAAGCUAGCGGGUUCAUACCCCGUUAAUGUGAGCCGGAUCUCACUCUUUUU
This 67-nucleotide transfer RNA is filed under the name Scyllarides haanii. RNAcentral describes it as "tRNA-Met". The record is from RNAcentral. Lineage: Eukaryota; Metazoa; Arthropoda; Malacostraca; Decapoda; Scyllaridae.